AGGAUUCGUAUUGGGCGAGCUCCCAUUGAACGGACACCCUGUGCUAGCAGAGUUUCUGCCCUUGAAAAAACAUUGAGGGGAUACGCAGAGAAAAGGACAGACACCGUCGUGGUACCAGCUGUUGGAUACACAUUUGAUUCAUUGGGAGAAGCAUAUGACUUCUACAACUUGUACUCGUGGGAGAUCGGAUUUGGGAUAAGAUAUGGCAAAAGUAGGUUGAACGUUGAAAGAACCAAAUGUAUGCAAGAAAUAGUUUGUGGAUGCUCGGGCAAACCAAAGAGAGGAAACACACGGACAUGCCGAUGUGAGUGCCCUGCAAUGAUACGUUUGCUACGAUCAAAUGACAAUGGCUGGUACAUAUGUGAGCACAGACCAUCCCACAACCAUGUGUUGACAGAUAAAUGUGGUGAAAAGGUGUACUGGCCUUCACAUAAACAUAUAGAUAUGUACACAAGAGACAUUGUCAAACAGCUUAGGGAGAACAACAUCAGCAUUGGAAAAGUUUACAACAUAAUCGGUAGUUUCUUCGGAUCAAUGAAUAAUGUGCCUUUCACCAAAAGGGCUCUCAGGGGUCUAUGUGGUGAAAUCAGCUGCGACCAGGCAGAUGAUGAUGUCCGGAAAACAAUGGAUGUAUUUGCAGAAUUGGGUUCAAAGGACUCUGGUUUGUACUACAGGGUACAAUCAGACAGUGAUAGCCGGGUAUGGAAUAUGCUGUGGUCAACUGGUGCAAGCAGAAUGCAGUACCACUAUUUUGGAGAUGCAAUAACAUUUGACACAACAUACCGUACAAACCUGUAUGAUAUGCCAUUUGGGCUGUUUGUUGGAGUUAACAACCAUUUUCAGAGCGUUAUCUUUGGUGGCGUGCUUGUUAGGGAUGAGACAGCUGAAACUUUCGAGUGGGUGUUCAGUGAAUUCAUACGCAUGAUGGGCGGCAAGCAUCCUCAAACCAUUCUUACAGAUCAAUGUAGAGCUAUGGAGCUUGCAAUAGAGAAAGUAAUGCCAGACAGUACACACCGCUGGUGCAAGUGGCACAUCUUGAAGAAGGCAAAGGAAAAACUUGGCACAUACUACUCCAAACGAAGCAACUUCAGAGCAGAG
Molecule: ribosomal RNA, 1098 nt
Filed under: Triticum aestivum (bread wheat)
Lineage: Eukaryota; Viridiplantae; Streptophyta; Magnoliopsida; Poales; Poaceae
Description: partial small subunit ribosomal RNA
Source: RNAcentral